Molecule: long non-coding RNA, 12240 nt
Organism: Meriones unguiculatus (Mongolian gerbil)
Lineage: Eukaryota; Metazoa; Chordata; Mammalia; Rodentia; Muridae
Exons: 5
Source: RefSeq, a predicted model, not a curated record
UUUUGCUUCGUGGUUUCGGCAACAGAGACCUGCACAGCGUGGCGCCCCACACCCCGCACCUGCCCAUCUAGGCCCACCCUAAUAGCAGGGGCCAAGCUGCCUCACGGUUGAUGGGAGGGAGCCAUUGUGCCUUGAUGAAGCCAGGAGACCCAGCGGCUUCUGGGAAAGGCACCUUCCAUUGGACUUAAGGGCAACUGUGUACAAUAGUCUGGAUCUCAAGACCUGGGGCAGCUGUAUACAUCAGCAUGGCCUGGAUUCUCAAGACCUGAGGCAACAGCUUAGGUCAGCCUGGUUUGGAUCCCAUGUGCCUUCAGUGAACCACUUCUGUAAAGAAUUUUUCUAGAAAAGUCCAUGUCCACAAGCCCUGGGUUACACGGCAGAGCUCUUGGAUGAAGUUCAAUGUUUUGAUCCCUCUUUAAAGAAAGCAACCGCAGCUAUCCCAGGGACGCGUUCUGAAACCGCCUGUGGCGGCCAUCGGAGCAGGAGCUGAUUGGACUCUUAUCGUCCCACACAUCUGCCUGAGAUAGAGACUUGUAGAGAAACUAAAGGAAUCCAGACAAAUGAAGAGCCUCGGUGUUCUUCAGUCAGAUGGCUCAACUUAGACUGUUUUCCCGGUUGGUUUUUGUCAACUUGAUAUAAACCAAGGCACAUCUGUGAAGAGGAGGAAAUCUCAGUUGAAGAGUCGUCUCCACCGCCCUGUCCGGUAAGUUAUAGACCCAGAAGAGUUAAGUAAUAUACCUGAAUGCAAGCACUGCUACUACUGGCGAGGACACUGAGGCCAUCAUUGCUGUGACAAGCCCAUGGCAGCUGCCUAUGGUAGAAGAAUGAGUGAACGGCUGUGCAGAGAGCUGAAGCCCCACCCUGAGGAGUUAGUAGGCUUCCGGCAUCAAACCCUGAUUCCCUUGACUUUGAUGGGAUGCCAGGCACAGAGGUUGCUUCCUCUGGGAUAGCCCCAAGGUGAGCUAUGCCCCAAGAAGUUUCCCUGUUCCUCCCGGCAUCUGCGGAGGGGUAGAUCCCCAACCUGAAGGGAGGGCACAGGGCUGCUUGGAUUUAAGGGCUAAGUUCAAAGCAAAAAGGAAGUUCUCUUUAAAUGGAAGGGCAGCGUUCGUGCUGGGGCCAAAGGAGGAUGGUGGAGAAUUCCUCGUAAAACUUUACAACUUCCUGCUUUCCCCUCCUCUCCAUCCUUAAGCCACGAAAGCCAAGCAUCUGGGGGGGGGGGAGCGUCUUGCUGAGUGAGGGUGGGAACUACUUCCCCCCACUCCCCCUCUAACCCAGCCAGGGUGAGGCUUCCGACUUCAUCAGUGUCCACCCUCCACUUUUCAAAGGAUAGGCCAUCUCCCAGCCUGGGGUGACAAAGAGCAGCCCUGAGCUGCCCACGGGAGCUGAGGGCACCUACCGCCCUUGGCCGGCUGGGCUUCAAGUGGGCAGAGGAAGCUCAGCUGUUAUCCCUUUUAUGUAUAUUGACUUAGCAGAGUGCAAACAUGUUAAAAGUUCACUUUCUCCUUUAUAGGAGUCUAUAAAAAGGCUCUUAAACCGGAGUCCUAGGGCUUCUGCAAGACAAAUGUAGGAUGAGGCCUUGGGGUGGUGCUGUGCCUCCCUCUGGCCUUUGCAGAGCUCUGGGCUGCUUCGGUGUGCUGAUUCAGGCCAGAGCCUGGGUGUUUCCAUCACAAUGGGUUCAGGCCAGUGGCCGGAGGAGCCCAGCCUAGAGACUGCUCUGAGGCUGGCAGGCUUUUUUGGUGAGUUCUUGGUUGGCCCCUGAGUGGGCCCCUGAUUUCUUGGUUUGAUCCAUUACCAUGCCAGUGGUUCUGAGUCACUAAACAAGCCAGUGUCUGUGGGAGAGGAAACAUUCCUCUGAGUGACAGUUCUCAGCAGUUAUCCUGCCUGGUGACUUGGGUCCCUGGGCGGCCUGCAGUGAGAAGCCUGGAAUGGAAAGGAGACUUCUCUUUUGGUCUGGGAGCCACAGAUCAUACCAGAUGCCUUUUCUAUGGAAACUGUCCUUUAAAAGGACAGCUGAGGUAGCAGGUGACACGUUUCAAGGUCAAGUCUCAAGGCAGUGUGAAGAGUUGGCAAAGGCUAGAGCUUUCUCAGCCUCAGUUUCUCCACCUGUCACUGUGGGAAAGGUCACUUCUCAGAGAGUUUGUCACAAGGAGACAGGGCAAGGGAGUUGGAGUAGAGAAUGAGCAUUCUGUGGUCCAGAGGAACUGGCCACUAAGUCUCCUCAGGGCUCUCAGGCACACUUGGCCCUGAGGCCAGCGAAUAACACCCACGCUUUGAUAAACAGCAGAGGAUGGCUAAUAAAUGGAGACACUGGGCGUUUGGAGAGUCUGGCCAUUCCCUUGCCCUGCUUUCUUCCCUGCUGUGAGCCUUGGCUAUGGCCUAAAACAGGAAGGUGCAGACACCCCUAACCUGAGAUGCAUUGGCCAUCGUAUGACACUAUGCUACCAACCUAAUCCCUUCAAAGGGCUGUAGCAGAGACCUCAGUCCACCAUCUCUUCGUGGUGACUGACCUGGGUGGACUGCAGAGAAGCGGGCCCUCUUGAGACCCGGAUGAGCAUUGACUCAGAAUAUCCACUCACAGCUCUGAGGCAUAAAUGAUAACUAGAGUAAGGGCUUGAGGGCACUCUGGCUCUCAGAGGAGCUGAAUAACCAAGCGGGAGCAUCCCCACACUCCCCUCUGUACAAAUCCACCCAGUGCCCCUGCCAGCUGGGCAGCCAGGCCUGGCCGCGCCACUCUGCCUGGGUCCCGUGGCCUUGCUGGGUCUAGACAGUGGAGAUAUGGUGGAUGUCAGGCAUCCUACACUGUUCCUGCAAUGCAGACAUGCUUGUUGUAUGAGCCCUCUCAUUUCUACUGCCCUGGUUUGCCAUGGUGAGUGGCUCAGCAUUAUUUGCUCAUGGAAAUGCUCUGGCUGGGACAUUUGUUUUAUUUUCUAAACCAAAGACAUGGAGAACUCAGGACAACACUCCUAUGGGCUCUCUGGAAUUGGUGUUCUGGAGUCAAGGUGCCCAGUGUAACCUUCUGUCCUAUCUUCCAAUAUGCUCCUCUGAGUGACAGUUCUCAGUGUUCUGCCUUGAGUACCUUCCAGCCAUGGCACCCACUGCUCUGUGGAACCAUGAAAUACUCGGCGUGUAGAGGAAGAAAGGAAUUAGUGACUUCAUUUCCUUUUAAUUUGUUUAAUUUAACCCCAUGUUAUUAGUGUCUGCUUUCCUAGCCAAUACUGUCCUAGAAUGUUCUUUCCAAGCUGGACAUUGCCUGGCUGCUCUGAGCCAUGGCAGUGUCAUACAGCGAGGGGCUCCAAAGCCUUCAGUCCCUUCGGCCUCACACAAUAAAUGUGGCUCCUACUUAGCCUGUGGUUGGGACAACCAUAUGGGUGUGAGGUAGCCGCUCUCCAAACCUGGUCAUGGCUAGUCUGGGUGUGAGCCCUGUCUAGCCCUAUGUGGUGAUAAAGGAAUGAAAGCAGUUCUCAUUUUUAAGCCAGGAUCUUCUGGGACCAGCACUGUGACAACCCACAGAGCCCUACAGAAGAUUGUGUGUGUGUGUGUGUGUGUGUGUGUGUGUGUGUGUGACUUUUUACAGUGUCACACAGUGGUAGCUUAAGUCUUCACACUCCUCUUAACUCUUCAUGUUUCACCAGUCAUGUUCUUCAGAGCACAAAAGGAGAGACCAACCAGGCCUCCGUUGCAGGAAAGACAAGCCACAGGGGCUGGAGGCCACAGGGGCUGGAGGCCAUUGGCCAUAGGCCUCUCUUACUUGGGGUUCCUGUGUUCAUCCACCUUCUCGGCUCUCCAGUGAGGGGACACAUGUUUUUCCCUGCCAUCUCUUCAUGGCAAUGUCCCCUGGCUAGGAGUGGCCAAGGUGGUCAUGGCAAUGAUGGCUUUGAGUGUCCUGCAAGGCAGGCUGGGCCCCUGACAGUCAGGACAACCUUGGAAGCUCCCUAUUUCAGAGCCCUGUUCUCUGUGACAUCCUGUGACAUUUGCUGGGAGCACAGGCCACACCCCCAGUCAGUCUCUCUAUGAAAUGGCUUCUCAAAGGACUACCCUGAGCUGGGCAGGGUGCAGAGUAGGGUGGUCCUGCUCCGUGGGGCGGGAGCUGAAAAGGCCUUAAUAGGCACAUUGUCCCUGUGUUUCCAGAGUGCCGCCCGGCCACUUCCUCACACACUGCGCGCUGGAUGAGCUCAUGUCUGAAGCUGGGAGUAGCACAGAGAGCCGGGCCUGGCUGCUGGGAGGCCCUAUGGCCUGAGAAGCCCUCGCAGGCUGAGGCUGGCGGAGUCCUGAAGCGGAACGUUGUAAUGAGCGACGCCGACUGGAUUUAUGGGGCUGCGCACACGGGCCUGGCCUUCCUGCGAGGCCUCCACAUGGGAACAAAAACAAGUGCCGGCCCAAGUGUGGCGCGACUGGGUCUUAACAAGAGUCUACUAAUUACGGGAAGGCCUCAGCCAGAACCCCAACCCUUGAGGAGGCGCAGAGCACGGGGGUGGUUCCUGUCAGCCUGGGCUCUGCUGGAGCGUCCUGUCUCUGCCGGGGAGACCCAGGGCACGCAGACCACGGUGCUGCAUUCACUAGCUCUGCGGCCUCAGACCUGGUACUGAGCUUAAGUGCUCCUCACUUGUCCUCAUCUGCAAAAUGGUAUCCCAGUUUUUCAAGGCCAACAGAAGGUGCUGUCCCAGAAGGAAUAAGAGCUAAUUUCAGAAUUAGUCAUUCCUGUUUUGAACCCUAGUUUAGCCAGGUCCUGUUCUGUGGCCUGGGCAAAUUGUUUUACCUCUCUGAUCCACAUAUGUUACCUAGAGGACAGGGGAUGAAGCAUUCAGGCUGUUAUGGUGUCACAAAAGGCAGUCCUCGGAUCCUCUGUCUACAUACAGUGCAGUUCCUUAGUGCACACACGCCCUUGCACUGGUGGUGUUUUCUACCUAGGAAUAGAGGUGGCAGCUGCCCGAGUCCUGUGGUGGCUCUCACAGGCCCAGUUGCCAUGGUGAUAAUGCCCAGUGGUGUGAUGGUCAGGGAAGCAGAUGAGGCACAAGGAGAUCUACACGGGCAGUCUUGCUGUGCUCACUCAGGGCUGUAGGCCUCUCUCUCAGAUUGGGAAUAAAACAAACCAGGAGGUGGUACUGUGGAGCAAGCCGCAGAACUGGGCUCUCUGGUCAUAUAGGGUGACCAAUGAGGAGCUUCCUCACACAGACAUGUAUACAACCGGCAGGACUGAAUACAAUGUGGCCUGGCAAGGACAGCUUUCUGGGGCCAGUGCCCUGCCCUGUAACACGUAUCUACACAGCUUAUUGGUAUGCGUGCAAAGUUUCUCUGCUGUUACACUGCCGAGUCCUUUCUGCAAACUUUUCUCAUCAUCCUCAAGGGCUGUGCUUGAAUCCUUUCCAAAUCUGAGGUAAGGUCAAGCAGAGGCACCAGAGGCUGUGAGAUCCAGGCUGCAGCACACGGUACGGCCACAGCGGCUAGCCUCCAACACCAGACUACGCUAAAGCCACCGUGUGCACACGGGAAUGCCAACAGUGGACUGCAGUGUCAGAAAUAUCCCUUAUGUGUAAGCCUGAGGGAGUCUGCAUUUGCCCAAGCUGCCCUGGCUUCCUCCGAGGCAGGCUUUCUUUCUCUAUGCCCACUGCUUGCCCUUCGCACACUGGCAGUGAUUCACAGCCCCAUCGUGCUCAGGCCCUUUGGUCAAGGCAUGGAGUGAGUGGCUUAUGCACUGCCAUGUUUUGUGAAGGACAGACUCUCCUUCGAUUACUCAGGGCUGUGUCCCAGACCCUAGUACCAUGCAUGACCCAGAGGAGUCAGGGACAGUGCGCCUAGACACAGUCCAGAGUGCAAUGGCAGAGGUAGCCGCUUUCCAACAGGAUGGCUGUCUGGCAUACAGGCUGCUGUGGCCGGCAGAUGUUUAGGGUGGCCUGAGAAAAGGCAUCCUUCCAGAAGGGAGGCAGUUCUGGAGGAUGCAGGCCAUGUCCAGGAGCGGAGAAACACAGGGUCAAGCAGGACUGUAAAUUAGCAAAGGUGAUGGGAUUCUUGAAAGAGCUGGUGCAUGCAAAAGGCUAGAAGAGCGAGGCACGUGGACCUCUAGAGUCGGGUCAGGGGCAGCGUUGCCGGUGGGGAGAGAGCUGGGCAGAGAGUAGCCAGCUACUCUCGGGUGACAUUGAAGGCAGCUUUCUACUUCUAUGGCUCUCAGCUUACUUGCUGUAUAAAAUAGGCACCGAGUCUCCUGGGGCACUGUGAGGCCUCAGGCACAGCACAUAUCCACGUGUCCUGUGUGUGGGAAGGGGCCAGGAGAAUGAGGUGCUGUUUUGGGAGGCGCUGGAGACACGCUAGAAGGCAGAAGAGAGAUGGCCCCUGGAGGUGACAGCCCUCGGCUGUGAUACUCAUGGACCCGUCAGCAUCUUCUCUCCUGUUCAGACUUACCCAUCAUUCAUUCCGUAUGUGCUCUUAGGGACAGCGGGCAAACAGUGCCAAGACUUGGAGUGAGCAGAAGGCACCUUCAAGUUCCUGUGGUACUUGCCCCGUGGCACUUCCUUUUAGUGUAUGCAGCCAGAGGACCUCAAGGUGAGACCUCAUAGCCAGGAUCUCUGUGGGACCUAAUGAGGAGCUGCUGGGUUUCAAUUAUGCGGGGAGUGGGGGGGGGCUUGCCUUGCACUGUUUGACUGACAGCUCAUUACCCUGCUGCCGUUUUUUGGGCAGUGGAAUUUAAUCUCCCAGGUGGGAAGCGAAUCAAUUUGCCCAUCUGCCACAGCUGAGCCUACUUGAACUCAACUCUAAUUUAUUCUCUUAAGCUUAGGAAGCCUUGUUGUUUCAGAGUACAGAAAUAUUAAAUUUCCCAGGCAGCCUGGGCAGGGGUGCCCAGGCAGAUGUCCCAGAGUCUCUUUUUUGGGAUCUGGCCUGAGCAAGCCAUGAUGGUCAGCUAGAGUCUGGAGGAGAUGGAGCUCUUGCCUGUUAAGGCCUUCCGGUGUGUUGGGUGUGGGAGGGGGGCCAUGUCAUCAGCUGGUGCUGAGAUCAAAGUCACCUGCCCAAGGGCUGAUGGCCAGAAAAGGCUCUUGCCAGCAAGGGGCACAGCUUCCUGUUCUCUGUGUUCUCAGCUGUGUUCCUCUGUACUGUGGGUACUAGACACAAGAUUUAGAAAGGGCCAUUCUGGUACUCUCUGCUUUCUCUUCACUACAAUGCAGCUAUAAACCCGAAGCCACAGUAAUGACUUGUAAUCUCUGAUACUUGGGCAGUUUCCCUAUUUUGCUCAGGAAGGUGAUGGAGGGACAAAAGGCACCUACUGUGUGCACACCAGAACAUCUCCAGGCUGGCACCAGGCACACAGAGUCACCAUCAUGCGUAGCUGCCAUGGGCUGGGAAACCCAGCAGACUGUUCGGUCUCAGGAGAUGCUGACAGCAGCUCUGUGGACAGUUGUGGCCACUUCACAGAGCAACACAGGUCCAGGAGGGCAUCUCAGAGACAGGAGCUGUUUUGCAGGAGGUAGCUCCCACUGCCUUCUACUCAGGUUCUAAAGGUGGUUAUUAGGAUGUCUCUCAAUUCUGUCCAUGAAGGAUCCGGAGCCUCCUAUGUAUCUAUGUGCGUAAAUGUAUGUAGGCCUAUGUGUGUGAGUGUGUACACACAUGGCAUUUGAUGAGGUCGCUGGGGUGGCAGCAGAAGAGGCAAGUGCCUUCUGUGGAGGGAAGCAGUGUUUCUGUAACAGUUCCUGAGUCUGACAGUACAACGCCCGCUGGGUUGGUUUCCAGGGGUCAGGGAGAGGCCAGUCUGUUUGCAUGCCUUUGUCAGGAGCGCAGGGGGUGUCGGGGCCUGGGAUUAAUGAGCAGUGUAUUGCCUCACCUGUUGGGAGGGUGAUUUUGAUAUGAGGGGCCCCCAGAAGCAAACAUGACAGGUCAAGUUCUAAAUAGAAGAGAAGCCCAAGAAAAGGUGGCCUCGCCCUUGCCAUUGAGCAUGUCUCUUUCUUACUGAGGAGUGGGCGCCGGGCUCCCUCUUGCCCCACUACCUUCAGGCAGAUUGGCCCCCUCACCUCUGAAAGGUAGCCCCAAGGCCAGCUUCUAAGAUAAAGUUCACCAUAGACACUUCAGGGAAAAUUAAACAUUACAGUUGCUAAUAAGGAUAUGGGCCAGGUUUUGUCUUCAGGACCACAUGGCGACUGCCAAGCACCAUGAAUGGCAAACAAAGAAUGGAGAUGCUUGCUGGACUCCACCUUUUGAGGAAGGCUGAGCAGACAGCCUAGGAGCCCUGGGACCCAGAGAUGUAGGCUUUGGGUGAAGCAGGGAGAUUGGUACUCGUGGCACAAUCUUUCCCCUCUUUAGUGUUUCAUAAGCCAAUCUGUCAGAGCUGGCUGUAGCUGUGACCAAAUAGACACCUGACCCUGAAUGGAAAGUAAUUUGACAAAUGCUGGUACUUGGGCACAGAGGUAGGGAAGGAGCCACAGCACGAGUAGGAUGCUGGCCUGGAUCCUCAGCAUAUGGGCCCAGGGUUCCUCUUGGCUGGAGCUGAGGAAGCCGUCCAAGUUCCACUUGUCACCCACCACUUUGCUCCCUUGGCUGAACAGAUCCCAAGCUUUCCCACCAGUGCUAAGUUACAUGUUCCAAGAAACCCUAUGGAGCUUCCCAUACUAGGAAGCAAAGCUCACUUCUCCCAGCCAUUGCUGGACAGAGGCACCCUGCCCUGUCGGUGUGACAGGCCACCCAUCAGAAGCCUGCGACACAGGCAUCUGGUAAAUCCAUGUCAAGCUUGCUUAAAUACAUAUUUAAGAAAUAUUUUUUAUAUGUGUGGGUGUGUGCCUGGUACCCAAAGAGGCCAGAAGGGUGUUGUCUCCUGGAACUAGAGUAUGGACAGUUGUGAGCCACCAUAUGGGUGUUGGGAAUGAAGCCUGGGUCCUGGAAGAGCAGCCAGUGCCCUUAACCACUGAACAUCUCUCCAGCUCCUUCAGCACACAUUUUGACUCACCUUUCAUGCAGUCGGUUGUCUAUGGGACCCAGGCUGACCACCCAGGUCCUACCAGUGAACCAACGAGCGCAGUGCCAAAUGGGCUGAUACCAAAGGGGAGACUAUCUUUGGAAAGCUUUGGUUGGAGUUUGGUAGCGCCGAGUUCCGAUCCCAGUUCCCUCUAUAGCCUUGUGGUCUUAUGGGAGAGUAUGCUUCACCUCUUUUUUCCCUACCUGUAGAGACUGUUACCGUCCUCCUUGCAGGCUCGCCGCGAGGAGCAGGGGAAAGGAUGCUCACAGCUGCUGUUGUCAGCUCAGACCCAGCUGGAAACUGCUUUUAGAUCCCAAAGGUCAACUCAUGGAAGAAGCUGCUGAGAAAACCAUGGUUUCAUUUGGGGAGGAGGCCUGCUGCCAGGAGCAAAGGUUGCUCUUCAGAGACAGGCCAGAGCAGUGGGCGGGGAUGGCUCAGUGCUUGCUGUGGAAACACUAGGACCCGAGUUCAAGUUCUUAGCACCCACAAAAAAAAAAAAAAUAAAAACUCCAGGUGUGGCUUCCUGAGUCUGUGACAGCAGCGCUGUGGUGAGGCGGAGUUAGAGCGUGCUGGUGUGCUGGCUGCCAGCCUAGCUCCAGGUUUUAGUAAGAGACUACUGAGGAAGCAUUCGACAGAGUUAGCACACGUAUGUGAACACACACCACACACAUACAAGAAGUGAAAAGUGUUUCCUAAGUGAAGGGGCAGGUUCAUCUGUCUGGGUUCAUCUGAGGGCACAUGGCCCUGAUGUCUGGAUGGAGAUGAGGACCCUGUUCUGUGGCCUUCGCUGUCACUGGCAGCUUGUGGCUCAGCUGCAGGGCACUUACCUCUAGGGCCUGCAUGCAUCCCCUCACGGUGAGAUAUCUGUACAUUUGGUCUCCUGUGUGGAGGCAGAUGUUUUGAGAGGCUCCUUGUCGAUGCAGGUCUUAGAUUUUUGGUCAUGAGUCUAGCCUUAAACGGCUGAGCCAUCUCUCCAGCCCCAACAGGUACAGUUCUUAGAGGCAGUGUGUUCCCCUCCACUCCUGGCCUUCGGACAGCAGGCUGGCGGCAGAGAGAACACGUUUUGAUCCCAUUUGAACUCUCAGGUGGACGGCUAGGCCUUUCUCUCCAUUCCCCUGAACUUUCCUUUGUGCGCACAAUCCUGGGAACCACUGUGGAGUGGCCAGUCCCAGCUUAGAAUCAUUUUGGUGAUUUCUGUGAACCCUGAUAAACGCAGCGAAGUGUUUUGUGCAGUUGCCAGAAAGAGCAGAAAGUGGCUGCCCCUUUCUGAGUCCCUUCCCAAUCCUUUGGGCGACAUCUAGUGGAGGGUCUUCAAAAAGCUUCCCCAGUUGCUUCACGGUUACCUCUCCGUUUUUUAACAUUUCAGUAGGUGCCCGAGAUGUUUCAUGUUGGUGGCGUGGGAACUGCCCCCAAGGCCGGGUGGACUGCCAGUGUCCACGGGAUCUUGCCACUAAGCAGCGGGUUCACAGGCUAACAGCGGGGCCCCGCCUUUUGGUGUGAUAGGAGGGAGCACUCGGGUUGGUGCCUGUGAAAGGACUUGCUACGGUGCCUGGCACACAGCAAAUGCCCAAACUACCACCAGGCAGCAGUGUCUAGUGCCCUGUGGAGGCUACAUGUGGGGGUGAUGCUCUUGAGGUUGGUGCAGCUCCUCUGGAAGGUCUGAGCCGUUUUAAGGUACACCCUCUCGGGAAAUCAGUGCCAAACUAACCCCGUUCUAAGCCAGACAUGAGACGACCUAAACCUAGCAACAAUCUGGUUUUGUAAGUGGUUCUGAAGAGGGAAGCUGGGAAAGUAUUGGUCAGGUUCGAGUUCAAAGUGCUUGUGUCUAACACUAAGACCGUGAGUCUAGGCCUGGUUGGGCUUUACUUUGGUUUCAGUUUGGUUUCUUGAGACAGUCUGUAUCGCUCCGGCUAGCUUCUUUUAGCACAGGGCUCUGCCAGCCCCUGUCCCCCGCUCCAACUAAAGGCAUGUGCCACCGUAGCCAGCACAAGAGAGAUCCUUUACGUAGGUCCACACUCUGUAAGUGCUUCGUAUCCCUUCCUGGUUCUACCUGCUCUUUGCAAGGAAAUCCAAGAAGGCAUCUGUGCUUUUAGGCAAACUCAGAUGACGUCACACAUGCCCAUGAAGCAUAAGUGUCUGUCUGCUGAGGCAUCUUGAGUACAGAUCCUGGGACCUUGGUAGUGGCAGAUUAUCUUUGGGGACCCUCUUGCCAGGGACCCUACUGCGGGGGUAUGGCAAAUACAGACCAGCAGAGAGCUUGAGGCAUCAAGUCUAUCCGAAAAGCCCAGUCACAAGUCAGAGAGAGAUGGGGGACCGCUGGGAGGGUAGGACGGACUUGGUCCAGAGUCUGGGGCCAUGGACUCUGCACAGCCGCUGCUCCUCACCUUUGUGGCUUUGGGUACAUUCCCUUUCUUCUCUGUGAAAUGGGGCUAACAACCCAGCCACGUUCAGGAGACUCGAGACUUUCUCCAUGAAUUCUCGAUACAGCCCAGGGCCAGCAGGUGUCUGACCUACUGCUCAAGGUACAGGGACUAUUGGGGAGGGAGCCUCCUGGGUGUAAGCUGUGUGCGCCUCUGUCCUAGGGAGACUGGCCUGGGGCUCACAGGUGCAGUAAUGGCAGUAAUGCAAAGCGUGCCGGUCACAACCAUUUAACAUUUUACUAAGUCGAUUCGCACAAACUCCAAAUUGCAAAUAUAAUUAAGGACAACAGAUGCAGUUCUGUCUUUUAACACUUUUCAUUUUCAAAUCUAUCAUUAAGACAAAAAAGUAAACAAAAGUUAGGUCUGUUGCAAAUUUUAUGAUUUUUUUUUUCUUCUUCUGAGGGGGGAAAACAUUGUCGUAAAAAGAAUGCCACUGGGUGUACAGUAAAGCACCACAACACUCGGUACAAACGGGGCUUCCUGAUGCUGUGACACGGGAGAGGGACGUCCUCCCCACCGCUCUGUGUUAAUCAGGACUUCAUUAAAGUAAAACUAUAAAAUCUCCUAGGUUAACUAAGUCAGACACGGUCUGGAACGCAGUGCUUAACAAGGACGAUGCCGACUAUCAGUGCUAACAGAAAACAUUUCAGAAGGCCCAAAACAAUCAAACUGGAAACCAAAACCUUAUUUUCCCUAGAUGAGUGAAACUGAAAACGAAAGGAGUCCCACCUCCCAGUAAGAGCAAAGGGGAUUUUUUUUUUCUAUUUUCUUUCUUUCCAGUUGGAGGUGGGGGACACGAUGUGCGUUGGCUCUGGGGGUCACGGGCCUAGUUGGCAUCCAGCUUGGCCAUUUCCUGCACAUAGAUGCCUAUACUCUCACUGUCAAAAA